CCGGGUGAGUAACACGUAUCCAACCUGCCGUCUACUCUUGGACAGCCUUCUGAAAGGAAGAUUAAUACAAGAUGGCAUCAUGAGUCCGCAUGUUCACAUGAUUAAAGGUAUUCCGGUAGACGAUGGGGAUGCGUUCCAUUAGAUAGUAGGCGGGGUAACGGCCCACCUAGUCUUCGAUGGAUAGGGGUUCUGAGAGGAAGGUCCCCCACAUUGGAACUGAGACACGGCCCAG
Molecule: ribosomal RNA, 232 nt
Filed under: uncultured bacterium
Lineage: Bacteria
Description: partial 16S ribosomal RNA
Rfam family: Bacterial small subunit ribosomal RNA
Source: RNAcentral